RNAcentral lists this ribosomal RNA (253 nucleotides) under uncultured bacterium. Its description in RNAcentral is "partial 16S ribosomal RNA". It matches the Rfam family "Bacterial small subunit ribosomal RNA", at positions 524 to 776 of the family's 1533-position model. The record is from RNAcentral.
UACGGGGGGGGCAAGCGUUGUUCGGAAUUACUGGGCGUAAAGGGCUCGUAGGCGGCCAACUAAGUCGGACGUGAAAUCCCCAGGCUUAACCUGGGAACUGCAUCCGAUACUGGAUGGCUUGAAUCCGGGAGAGGGAUGCGGAAUUCCAGGUGUAGCGGUGAAAUGCGUAGAUAUCUGGAGGAACACCGGUGGCGAAGGCGGCAUCCUGGACCAACACUGACGCUGAGGAGCGAAAGCCAGGGGAGCAAACGGG